GCAUGGCUGAAUACUGUGUUCUUUUUAUCAGUAGUUUACACAGCCAGACACCAUGCAAAAGUAAAAAGUCUUUCUUUUAACAUGGCUAUGAUGGUAUGCUAAGUAUUCAUAGCAUAUCAUUAUUAAAAGUGGAUACAAAU
Molecule: small nucleolar RNA, 140 nt
Organism: Diceros bicornis minor
Lineage: Eukaryota; Metazoa; Chordata; Mammalia; Perissodactyla; Rhinocerotidae
Product: small nucleolar RNA SNORA15
Exons: 1
Source: RefSeq, a predicted model, not a curated record